Papio anubis (olive baboon) is the source of this 117-nucleotide unclassified non-coding RNA. It matches the Rfam family "Metazoan signal recognition particle RNA". Rfam says of the family: The signal recognition particle (SRP) is a universally conserved ribonucleoprotein. It is involved in the co-translational targeting of proteins to membranes. Lineage: Eukaryota; Metazoa; Chordata; Mammalia; Primates; Cercopithecidae. The record is from Ensembl.
GCUGGGCGUGGUGGCUCACGCCUGUAAUCCCAGCACUUUGGGAGGCUGAGGCAGGCGGAUCACCUGAGGUCAGGAGUUCGAGACCAGCCUGGCCAACAUGGUGAAUCCCUGUCUCUA